RNAcentral lists this long non-coding RNA (1872 nucleotides) under Sarcophilus harrisii (Tasmanian devil). RNAcentral's name for it is "lncRNA (ENSSHAG00000025439.1)". Lineage: Eukaryota; Metazoa; Chordata; Mammalia; Dasyuromorphia; Dasyuridae. The record is from RNAcentral.
GGAGCCUGGAGGGGCUUGGAGGGCAGAGGAGGAGCCCGGAGGAAGGAAGGCUGAGGAGGCUCUUGGGGGAGGAUGGCUUAGUCUGGACAGGAAAAGGGCUGGAGCAAGAGGUUGAGAAGGGCUCUAGGAGGAGCUCUGGGCCCAGGACAGCUGCCCCCCAGCCAGAGACAGAGAUCCCUCGGGUUGGAUCACCGGCUUUGUGGCCCUCUCCCUAACUCCAUCAGGUAGGCAAGGUGCAUUGUGGGAGGGGAGGGAGGCCUGCCAGUCCUGCUUGGCUGCUUGGGUCUGAGAGGGGCUUCAUCAGCCCCCAGUCCCGGGGGGUCUCUGGCAGCGCCGGGUCCAGGAGGCGAGAGCUGACGUCUUUUCAUUAUGGCGCCUCUUGUUCUCUAGCCUGUUCCAAUUACCAGCGCCUGUUACUUAUUUAUGAACAAACAAACAUUAUUACGCUCUACCGGAAAGGCUUGGGGGUAGAUCGCUGGGGGCCCUGGGACCUGUAUUACAGCCCGGGUGCCCCACUCUGUGCCACACACAGGAUGAAACAGUUCCUGCCCCAGAGGGUUACCCAAAGGAAACAGAAAGCAUGCGGUCAGUUUGGGGAGGGAGUGGAGCUAGCUGCUCCUUGAAUCCCUGCGGGCUUCAUGGAGGCUGCGCUGAGCCUUGAAGGAGCCAGUCAGAGAUGCAAAAGUAAACUUCCAGACGCCGGUGUGUGCGGGGCCCCGGCGGAGCCCGGGCCGGGAGGAAGGAGGAGAAGGGGUGGCGGCGGCCGGGCUGGGCAGAGCGGAGCUCGCGAGGGCCCGGCUCGGGGAGACCUUGGGGGGCUUCUCGCCCUGCUUCCCCGCCUCGGCUUCGGCCGCGAACCCCGGGCGCCGCCGCCUCGGCUGCUUGGUCCCGCGUCUGCCCGGCUCCCGAGGCGUCCCCGCCGCCAGCCCGGACCCCCGAAAGUCCGGAGACUCCAGGCCCGGGGCAGUCCUGCAGUCCCGCCGCGGCCCGGGCGGCCAGAUCCCCAGGCGCCAGCACGGGUUCUCUGGGUGCUCCCCCUGACCUCCCCUUGCUCCUGGGCGGCCCCAUGGCUCAGCCCAUUCCAUCCCCUGGGGAGAAACGUCUCGGGCCACGUCCUCAUCCCUGACCCGGGACCCCCGCCCAGCCGCAGACAGUGGGCCUAAGAGAACUGGGCGUUGGGUGCCCGCGGAUGCCCAAGACUUCCAGGGCCGGUGUGAGCGGCCAACAGCCCAGCAUGGAGCCCGGCGUCCGGGGCACCGGGCAGAUGGCCUUCCUCAGCAAUCUGCUGGCGGCUUACUCCUUCAUCAGUGAGCACCCUGAGCGCGCGGCCCUGUGCUUCGUGUCCGGCGUGUGCGUGGGGCUCGUGCUCACGCUGGCCGCCUUGGUGCUGACCGUGUCCUGCCGCGCCGACUGCCGGCCGCGGCGCGGGAAGAAGGGCCCGGCCGGGCGCCGCGGCGGCAGCUGCGACCUCAGCGCCAGCGACAGCGAGGACAGCGGCGACAGCGGCGACGGCUGCUCCUCGGCCGGCUCCGCGCGCAGGCCCUGGCUCUUCGAGCGGCCGCCCCACAGGAACGUGUUCACGUCGGCCGAGGAGCUGGAGCGGGCGCAGCGGCUGGAGGAGAGGGAGCGCAUCAUCCGCGAGAUCUGGCUGAACGGGCAGCCCGACGGCCCCGGCCCGGCCACCCGCAGCCUGAACCGCUACUACUGAGGGGGGCGCGGGGAGAGCCGGAGGAACGGGCAGCCCGACGGCCCCGGCCCGGCCACCCGCAGCCUGAACAGCUACUGCUGAGGGGGGCCGGGGAGAGCCGGCGGAACUCCCUGCCCGACGGCCCCGGCCCGGCCACCCGCAGCCUGAACCUCUACUACUGGGGG